GACGAACGCUGGCGGCGUGCUUAACACAUGCAAGUCGUACGGUAAGGCCCUUUCGGGGGUACACGAGUGGCGAACGGGUGAGUAACACGUGAGUAACCUGCCCACAACUUUGGGAUAACGCUAGUAAACUGGUGCUAAUACUGGAUAUGUACUCCUGCUGCAUGGUGGGGGUUGGAAAGCUCCGGCGGUUGUGGAUGGACUCGCGGCCUAUCUGCUUGUUGGUGGGGUAGUGGCCUACCAAGGCGGCGACGGGUAGCCGGCCUGAGAGGGUGACCGGCCACAUUGGGACUGAGAUACGGCCCAGACUCCUACGGGAGGCAGCAGUGGGGAAUAUUGCACAAUGGGCGCAAGCCUGAUGCAGCAACGCCGCGUGCGGGAUGACGGCCUUCGGGUUGUAAACCGCUUUCAGCAGGGACGAAGCUUUUUGUGACGGUACCUGCAGAAGAAGCACCGGCUAACUACGUG
Molecule: ribosomal RNA, 465 nt
Filed under: uncultured bacterium
Lineage: Bacteria
Description: partial 16S ribosomal RNA
Rfam family: Bacterial small subunit ribosomal RNA
Source: RNAcentral